CCUACGGGGGGCAGCAGUGAGGAAUAUUGGUCAAUGGACGAGAGUCUGAACCAGCCAAGUAGCGUGAAGGAUGACUGCCCUAUGGGUUGUAAACUUCUUUUAUAUGGGAAUAAAAUGUUCCACGUGUGGGAUUUUGUCUGUACCAUAUUAAUAAGGAUCGGCUAACUCCGUGCCAGCAGCCGCGGUAAUACGGAGGAUCCGAGCGUUAUCCGGAUUUAUUGGGUUUAAAGGGAGAGUAGGUGGAUUGUUAAGUCAGUUGUGAAAGUUUGCGGCUCAACCGUAAAAUUGCAGUUGAAACUGGAAGACGUGAGUACAGUAGAGGUGAGUGGAAUGCGUGGUGUAGCGGUGAAA
RNAcentral lists this ribosomal RNA (351 nucleotides) under uncultured bacterium. RNAcentral's name for it is "partial 16S ribosomal RNA". It matches the Rfam family "Bacterial small subunit ribosomal RNA", at positions 338 to 686 of the family's 1533-position model. The record is from RNAcentral.